This 107-nucleotide small nuclear RNA is filed under the name Carlito syrichta (Philippine tarsier). Lineage: Eukaryota; Metazoa; Chordata; Mammalia; Primates; Tarsiidae. The record is from RNAcentral.
GUGCUCGCUUCAGCAGCACAUAUCCUAAAAUUGGAAGGAUACAGAGGAGAUUAGCAUGGCCUUGUGCAUUCUGACACUUAAAGAAUUCCGGUGGCUUGCAAAUGCUU